GACGAACGCUGGCGGCGUGCUUAACACAUGCAAGUCGAACGGAAAGGCCCUGCUUUUGUGGGGUGCUCGAGUGGCGAACGGGUGAGUAACACGUGAGUAACCUGCCCUUGACUUUGGGAUAACUUCAGGAAACUGGGGCUAAUACCGGAUAGGAGCUCCUGCUGCAUGGUGGGGGUUGGAAAGUUUCGGCGGUUGGGGAUGGACUCGCGGCUUAUCAGCUUGUUGGUGGGGUAGUGGCUUACCAAGGCUUUGACGGGUAGCCGGCCUGAGAGGGUGACCGGCCACAUUGGGACGGAGAUACGGCACAGACUACUACGGGAGGCAGCAGUGGAGAAUAUUGCACAAUGGGCGGAAGCCUGAUGCAGCAACGCCGCGUGCGGGAUGACGGCCUUCGGGUUGUAAACCGCUUUCGCCUGUGACGAAGCGUGAGUGACGGUAAUGGGUAAAGAAGCACCGGCUAACUACGUG
This 468-nucleotide ribosomal RNA is filed under the name uncultured bacterium. Its description in RNAcentral is "partial 16S ribosomal RNA". It matches the Rfam family "Bacterial small subunit ribosomal RNA", at positions 28 to 507 of the family's 1533-position model. The record is from RNAcentral.